Molecule: small RNA, 3913 nt
Filed under: Pongo abelii (Sumatran orangutan)
Lineage: Eukaryota; Metazoa; Chordata; Mammalia; Primates; Hominidae
Description: retained intron
Source: RNAcentral
AAUACUGGACAUCACAUUUCAACAUGAGCUUUGUAGGGGACACAAUGUCCAAAUCAUAUCACUUAUUCUGUCUCUCCCUUCCUUUCUUGGAGCUACCUGCCUGUCCUACCUUCCUUCUUCCAAACUUCCCUCCCCUUGUCAUCUUUCUUCCCAGCCCUCCUCAUUGUUUUUCUCUCUACCUUUCCAUUUUUUCUAGCUUUUUCUUCUCUUUCCAUUAUUCCUAUUUUCUUAUAGAAAGAUGCUCUCUUGCUUUUACUUUCCCCUUGUGUCUCCCCCACUUUGUCUUUUGUAACCACUCCAUUUUCUUUAUCUCCUUACUUCCUUGAAUGCGUUAGUUUUUCUUCCAUCCAACUGUUCUUUCACUUGUACAUCUAGUUUUAUAGCAAUUAGGGCCAUUUCUACAGCACUUCAAACUAAAUACAUGUUAAACUGGGCAUUUCUACUUCUGGAAGUGGCUAAUUUGGUUGUCCUAGACCAAACACCAGGAAAGGAAGCUUGGCUUGGGGAUGUUGGACCACUUGGCUGGGGCGGUGGUUCAGUUGCAUCUUAGUCUCAGAGAUGAAGGAGAGUCACGACUACUCACCGCCAGAGCAAGACACCCUCCAGCCAUAGUUCCAAUUCUACGAUGGCGUAGCAUAGUAGCCCUGUAGCUGCAGGGUGUGGAGCCUAGUGUUUGCUUUUUCUCUAGGGCGAGCACAGUUACGUGGACUCCAGAUUUUUGCUUCAGUGUCUUGAGGAUCUUGAUGCCAGUCUACGAAAAUUAAACUCCCGUCUGUUUGUGAUUCGUGGACAACCAGCAGAUGUGUUUCCCAGGCUUUUCAAGGAAUGGAACAUUACUAAACUUUCAAUUGAGUAUGAUUCUGAGCCCUUUGGAAAGGAACGAGAUGCAGCUAUUAAGAAACUAGCAACUGAAGCUGGAGUAGAAGUCAUUGUAAGAAUUUCACAUACAUUAUAUGACCUAGACAAGAUCAUAGAACUCAAUGGUGGACAACCACCUCUAACUUAUAAAAGAUUCCAGACUCUUAUCAGCAAAAUGGAACCACUAGAGAUACCAGUAGAGACAAUUACUUCAGAAGUGAUAGAAAAGUGCACAACUCCUCUGUCUGAUGACCAUGAUGAGAAAUAUGGAGUCCCUUCACUGGAAGAGCUAGGUUUCGAUACAGAUGGCUUAUCCUCUGCAGUGUGGCCAGGCGGAGAAACUGAAGCACUUACUCGUUUGGAAAGGCAUUUGGAAAGAAAAGCUUGGGUGGCAAAUUUUGAAAGACCUCGAAUGAAUGCGAAUUCUCUGCUUGCAAGCCCUACUGGACUUAGUCCUUAUCUCCGAUUUGGUUGUUUGUCAUGUCGACUGUUUUACUUCAAACUAACAGAUCUCUACAAAAAGGUAUUCUCUAAAAUUAGAGCUUACUGUUUAAUACUUUAAAAAAAACAUUCUGAUAAUACUUCUUUGCUUUUUAACCAUAGGUAAAGAAGAACAGUUCCCCUCCCCUUUCCCUUUAUGGGCAACUGUUAUGGCGUGAAUUUUUCUAUACAGCAGCAACAAAUAAUCCACGCUUUGAUAAAAUGGAAGGAAACCCUAUCUGUGUUCAGAUUCCUUGGGAUAAAAAUCCUGAGGCUUUAGCCAAAUGGGCAGAAGGCCGGACAGGCUUUCCAUGGAUUGAUGCCAUCAUGACACAGCUUCGUCAGGAGGGUUGGAUUCAUCAUCUAGCCAGGCAUGCAGUUGCUUGCUUCCUGACACGAGGGGACCUGUGGAUUAGUUGGGAAGAAGGAAUGAAGGUAUUUGAAGAAUUAUUGCUUGAUGCAGAUUGGAGCAUAAAUGCUGGAAGUUGGAUGUGGCUGUCUUGUAGUUCCUUUUUUCAACAGUUUUUUCACUGCUAUUGCCCUGUUGGUUUUGGUAGGAGAACAGAUCCCAAUGGAGACUAUAUCAGGCGUUAUUUGCCUGUCCUAAGAGGCUUCCCUGCAAAAUAUAUCUAUGAUCCCUGGAAUGCACCAGAAGGUAUCCAAAAGGUAGCCAAAUGUUUGAUAGGAGUUAAUUAUCCUAAACCAAUGGUGAACCAUGCUGAGGCAAGCCGUUUGAAUAUCGAAAGGAUGAAACAGAUCUAUCAGCAGCUUUCACGAUAUAGAGGACUAGAAAAUUUUUUUGUCCUUUAGGUCUUCUAGCAUCGGUACCUUCUAAUCCUAAUGGGAAUGGAGGCUUCAUGGGAUAUUCUGCAGAAAAUGUCCCAGGUUGUAGCAGCAGUGGAAGUUGCUCUCAAGGGAGUGGUAUUUUACACUAUGCUCAUGGCGACAGUCAGCAAACUCACCUGUUGAAGCAAGGUAAGAAUGAAGCAUUGGAGCAUACUGUUCUUUUUCCUUUUCCUAUCUUAAACAUACAUUUUUUAAAUGUGCAGGAAGAAGCUCCAUGGGCACUGGUCUCAGUGGUGGGAAACGUGCUAGUCAGGAAGAGGACACACAGAGUAUUGGUCCUAAAGUCCAGAGACAGAGCACUAAUUAGGUAAAUAUUUUAGAGCUUUGUUUCUUGCUUUAGAUGAGUAUAUAAUUAACGUAAAUUAAGAUAAUUUCAAAAAUGGAGCAAAUCUCUAUUUUCAGAGCAGAAAGUCUUGAGGCAUUAAUUUUUAAGCAAUUUUUACAAAAUCAGUUAAUUUUUGGUCAAGAGACAUGCAUCUGUACCAGAGAAAUUGUUGCACCAGUUUUAUAUUCAUCUGAACCAAUUCUCUUUAAAUUAGAGAUGUUUAUGAUUUUGUGGUCAAGUUUUUUCUUAGAAAAAGACAACUUUUUUAUUUCCUUUCUACGUAACUAUGAGUCUAAAACAGUUAAAGUGGCCUCUUUAUUUUAGUGACAUUAAUAUAAUCUUUUUAUGAACUUUCCCCCAAAUUUUUGCCUCUUAAAUGUUUAUAAAUUUCUUUUAUCUGUUGUGAUGCUUCUAAAAUCUAAAUUCUUUCCAAUUUGGGAAUAGGUUAAAAUUUUUUAAAAUGCUGGCCCUUAUUAGAAGUAUCAGAAAGCCUUUCCUGCAUUCAAUUUAAUUGGAUUUGGGAUGUCAUUUUGUAAUUUAAAUUAAUAUGAAAAGUAUUUAUACGUUGGAUUUGCCAGUUUUUAAAAAUUUUCUGUUUCUUCAAUUUCUAACACUGUUUACAUUUUUUAUUGCUUAGUUUUUUUAUGUCAACCUAAUUAGACUAUAAGUAUCUUGAAGAUAAGGUCAAUAAACACUCAUCACAUUUUUGUCAUUGAAUUAUUUGCAAUCAAGCUUUACCUAGUUUUUUUUUCCCCUUAAAUCACAGAAAACAUUCAGGAGGAAUACUGUUGCAGCUGAAAUUGGUGGGGAGUUCAAUACUUUUCAAUUAAGUUAUUUAAAAAUAUUCUUCAUUGAUGGAAAGCAGUUACAUAUUGAAAUAUGUUGUUUCUAAUGACAUUUCUGUGGUUUUUAACUUUUUAAUGAAUUUCACAGAGGACAAUUGGUAAUUUGUAUAUAAAGAACUUGGCAAGAGAAUUUGCUUAAUGUAAAUAUAAACAGUCACAAUUAGUAUAGACCCAUCGAUAUAUUUUUGAUAAUUUUUCAUGUAUGGUAAAGUUAAAAUGACAAAUUGAUAUUCUGAUAUAAAACUCAAAGUUUUGAAGUCAGUGGGAAAAAAGGAGGUUUUUAGACUUUCUUAAAAGACUUUGUUAAAAUUUUAGGACAGAAUUUUCUUGACGUUGUUUGAUCUAACUUUGCACUCUUUGAUAAUAAUGUUUUAGAUAAUGUGCAUAAUCCAAAUUGGUAUUGUAGCCUCUGUUAACACAGACAGUAUAUGUUUUAAACUUUGAUGUAAACCUUUUUAGACCUAAACUUGUUGAAGUAUCAUGUGUUAAGUUCUUUGUCUCUGUUUCUUUGUUCAUUUAUUACUAAAAUGACCUUGUUAUUAAAGUAUAUGCAAAUAUG